RNAcentral lists this transfer RNA (90 nucleotides) under bacterium. Its description in RNAcentral is "tRNA-Leu". It matches the Rfam family "tRNA". Rfam says of the family: Transfer RNA (tRNA) molecules are approximately 80 nucleotides in length. Their secondary structure includes four short double-helical elements and three loops (D, anti-codon, and T loops). The record is from RNAcentral.
GCCGGAAUGAUGAAAUCGGCAGACAUACCUGACUUAAAAUCAGGAGCUGGCUAACCCAGCGUGUGGGUUCGAAUCCCACUUCCGGCACCU